Malus domestica (apple) is the source of this 888-nucleotide non-coding RNA. The record is from RefSeq and is a predicted model, not a curated record. Lineage: Eukaryota; Viridiplantae; Streptophyta; Magnoliopsida; Rosales; Rosaceae.
CUCACCCUUCAUCCUCAUCAUUCUCUCACUCGGUCUCUCUUUUCUCUCUCGCUCAUAUCGCCCCCUCUUUCCCUCUCUCACUCGGUCUCUCUCUGCCCGUAGCCUUCCUCCUCAUCCUUCAUCGUAUCCUCAUCCUCUCCCGACUGCACCCAGCCAGCAGGCAUAAACGGAUCGGAGAACGGGGCAAUUAAGUUUACUCUUCAAACAUGCUCCUAAUGCCAUAGCUAUGUUCUAAGAUAUAAAAUCUAAAAAUCAUUCAGGAAGAAAAAGGCUAUCAAUAUCACAUGGUUAAAAGUAGUACAGCACACUGAAAAACAAUACUAACUCAAAAUUAGUUCAGUAGUGGUCAUGGCCUCGUUUUUGCUGGUGAUUGACUGAAACUCGGGACACAGGAUCAAACUUUUUCCUUUUCUGUAGUUAAGAGAAACGAAAAUCAGUUUACAAAAGGAGUAAUCAGGAUCUACUGCAUUCAGGUGGCAUAGCACACAAGCUCUCGAUUGAACAACCCGAAAACUUCCCAACUUGUCUCACCACAAAGCCGUACCCGAAAUCCAUGGUAUCCGCAUAUUUUAAAAAGUUGAAACUCUAUUCCAGAUCGAUCAUAGGAGAGGUUAAUGCCCUGAAGGAGGAAGUGACAACCCUAAGAGGUCAGCUUGCGGCCUAGGGCGAGCAAAUGAGGGCCUAGGGCAAACAGAUGAGUAUGAUUGUACGGCCUCCAAAUCCUAAUGCCAGCACCUGAUCUUGUUUCACCUUCGACCUCCUAGCCACUUCGCCCAGCUAAUACUCAGUAGCCUGAUCUAUCAAACCUACAAGACUACUUCUUGUAGUUUUUUCUUUUUUUGUUCGGACAUCUGGUAUGUAUAUUUUCAUAUAUUUUAUAAUUAAAUA